UGCAAGUCGAGCGGACAGAUGGGAGCUUGCUCCCUGAUGUUAGCGGCGGACGGGUGAGUAACACGUGGGUAACCUGCCUGUAAGACUGGGAUAACUCCGGGAAACCGGGGCUAAUACCGGAUGCUUGAUUGAACCGCAUGGUUCAAUUAUAAAAGGUGGCUUUUAGCUACCACUUACAGAUGGACCCGCGGCGCAUUAGCUAGUUGGUGAGGUAACGGCUCACCAAGGCAACGAUGCGUAGCCGACCUGAGAGGGUGAUCGGCCACACUGGGACUGAGACACGGCCCAGACUCCUACGGGAGGCAGCAGUAGGGAAUCUUCCGCAAUGGACGAAAGUCUGACGGAGCAACGCCGCGUGAGUGAUGAAGGUUUUCGGAUCGUAAAACUCUGUUGUUAGGGAAGAACAAGUACCGUUCGAAUAGGGCGGUACCUUGACGGUACCUAACCAGAAAGCCACGGCUAACUACGUGCCAGCAGCCGCGGUAAUACGUAGGUGGCAAGCGUUGUCCGGAAUUAUUGGGCGUAAAGCGCGCGCAGGCGGUUUCUUAAGUCUGAUGUGAAAGCCCCCGGCUCAACCGGGGAGGGUCAUUGGAAACUGGGGAACUUGAGUGCAGAAGAGGAGAGUGGAAUUCCACGUGUAGCGGUGAAAUGCGUAGAGAUGUGGAGGAACACCAGUGGCGAAGGCGACUCUCUGGUCUGUAACUGACGCUGAGGCGCGAAAGCGUGGGGAGC
RNAcentral lists this ribosomal RNA (732 nucleotides) under Bacillus sonorensis. Its description in RNAcentral is "bacterial SSU rRNA". It matches the Rfam family "Bacterial small subunit ribosomal RNA", at positions 56 to 769 of the family's 1533-position model. Lineage: Bacteria; Bacillati; Bacillota; Bacilli; Caryophanales; Bacillaceae. The record is from RNAcentral.